CUCGCCGCGCCCCCCGCGCCCCCUCCCCCGGCGCUCGCGCGUCCGCGCGCCCCCUCCCCCCGGAGCCCCGGGCGCGCGUCCCGGCGCGGGGCGCGCGCCUGCCUGACCGCGGCGCAGAGGGUGGGGGCCGCGGCGGGCGGGCGGGCGGCCUCCUCGCGCGACCCCCAACCCCCCGCCCGGCCCCUCGGCGACAGCCCGCCAGGAAACCAGAGAUUUUUUGCUCUGAAGGCCUUCAACUGAUGGGAUGUGGCCCACCCACAUUAUCAAGGAUAUUGGGAUGAAUCAGACAGUCCUUCCCUCACUGUGGAAACAGACAAGUAAACAAACAGUUGCCAUAUGAAUUCAAUGCCAUGGUGAAGGCAGCUUAGUGUGUUGUGGGAGCACGGGAUGGGCGUUUCUGUUGAAGAAGAUUUGCCUGAGUGAACAUAUUAGCCAGUCUUCCUCUACUUUGUGUGUGGGUUGCUGCCACAGCAUGGCUGAUGAGUGUUGUAGGUCCACGCCCAGGAUCCAAACCCAUGAACCUGGGCUGCCGAAGCAGAGCACACUGAACUGAACCGCUACACCACAGGGCCAGCCCCAGAUGCAGAUUUUAUUAAUUCCUGGUUUUUGAAAAAUUCUUAAAGGAAAACUGAGAAACAAUUUUUUUGUUUGUUUGUUUUGGCUCAUUUUCCUUUUUACUAUGUAUUUGGGAUGUGGCCAUUCCUAAGAACAUUAGCACAUGAAGUUCAUUGUUGAUGUUAUAACAUGUUCUGAAUCUUAAAAUAAGGCACCAAAAAUGCAUUCAGAGAACAGGUAGAUAAAGUAGCACUGCUGUGAUUAUAGAGAAAGUGUAGUUUCCUGUUAGGCUUUUCUCUUUCAAGAGCUUAUAAUUUUCUGUAUAACCCAAACGUUAUCCCUUGGGCACUUAUGUUUUAUUCUUGCUCUUGAUUCUGUGUUAUAACGUUUGAUUGAAAAGGGAAGAUAUGAAAUUUUUGUCUCCCACACAAAGAAUCUUCAUAUUCGUAUUUUUUUGGUAAGAUUCAAUUCCAUGUGCCUGAGCCUGCCUUAGUUUGAGGAAUAGUAUCAGUAACUUUUAUCUACAAGGAGUGUCUUGGACAUUCUGUGUGUGUGUGUAUAAAAUCAAAACCCACAAAUAUGGUAUACCUUGUUGGGAAUAUUAGAUGAUAAUUCCUAGUGACUAUAUUAUAUUUGCACAGAGUAUUAGAUGACAGCCAGUUUUGACAGUCUAAUGUAGUAGGUGAUCUGGCAUUCUCCGUAUCUUGGGUCAUAUGAGGAUAAAAUUAUCCAUCUCCUGAGCCUUUAUGAGGAAGGGAACUAGAAUUUUAGAAGUGUGAACUGAGAAAAUUGGACUCAAGUUAGCAACCUAAAAAAUGGUAAAACCAAAUUGUGUAUGAA
RNAcentral lists this long non-coding RNA (1395 nucleotides) under Equus asinus (donkey). RNAcentral describes it as "lncRNA (ENSEASG00005037955.1)". The record is from RNAcentral. Lineage: Eukaryota; Metazoa; Chordata; Mammalia; Perissodactyla; Equidae.